CUACGGGAGGCAGCAGUGGGGAAUCUUCCGCAAUGGACGAAAGUCUGACGGAGCAACGCCGCGUGAGGGACGAAGGCUUUCGGGUUGUAAACCUCUGUCUUCAGGGAAGAAAAAAAUGACGGUACCUGAGGAGGAAGCCCCGGCUAACUACGUGCCAGCAGCCGCGGUAAUACGUAGGGGGCGAGCGUUAUCCGGAAUUAUUGGGCGUAAAGGGCGUGUAGGCGGGUAUUUAAGUCAGAUGUGAAAACCCAGGGCUCAACUUUGGGAGUGCAUCUGAUACUGGGUACCUUGAGGGCAGGAGAGGAAAGUGGAAUUCCUAGUGUAGCGGUGAAAUGCGUAGAUAUUAGGAGGAACACCAGUGGCGAAGGCGACUUUCUGGACUGCAACUGACGCUGAGGCGCGAAAGCGUGGGGAGCAAACAGGAUUAGAUACCCCGGUAGU
RNAcentral lists this ribosomal RNA (441 nucleotides) under uncultured bacterium. Its description in RNAcentral is "bacterial SSU rRNA". It matches the Rfam family "Bacterial small subunit ribosomal RNA", at positions 339 to 794 of the family's 1533-position model. The record is from RNAcentral.